AGGGAAUUUUCGGCAAUGGGGGAAACCCUGACCGAGCAACGCCGCGUGAAGGAAGAAGGUUUUCGGAUUGUAAACUUCUGUUAUAAAGGAAGAACGGCGGCUACAGGAAAUGGUAGCCGAGUGACGGUACUUUAUUAGAAAGCCACGGCUAACUACGUGCCAGCAGCCGCGGUAAUACGUAGGUGGCAAGCGUUAUCCGGAAUUAUUGGGCGUAAAGAGGGAGCAGGCGGCAGCAAGGGUCUGUGGUGAAAGCCUGAAGCUUAACUUCAGUAAGCCAUAGAAACCAGGCAGCUAGAGUGCAGGAGAGGAUCGUGGAAUUCCAUGUGUAGCGGUGAAAUGCGUAGAUAUAUGGAGGAACACCAGUGGCGAAGGCGACGAUCUGGCCUGCAACUGACGCUCAGUCCCGAAAGCGUGGGGAGCAAAUAGGAUUAGAUACCCUAGUAGUCCACGCCGUAAACGAUGAGUACUAAGUGUUGGAUGUCAAAGUUCAGUGCUGCAGUUAACGCAAUAAGUACUCCGCCUGAGUAGUACGUUCGCAAGAAUGAAACUCAAAGGAAUUGACGGGGGCCCGCACAAGCGGUGGAGCAUGUGGUUUAAUUCGAAGCAACGCGAAGAACCUUACCAGGUCUUGACAUACUCAUAAAGGCUCCAGAGAUGGAGAGAUAGCUAUAUGAGAUACAGGUGGUGCAUGGUUGUCGUCAGCUCGUGUCGUGAGAUGUUGGGUUAAGUCCCGCAACGAGCGCAACCCUUAUCGUUAGUUACCAUCAUUAAGUUGGGGACUCUAGCGAGACUGCCAGUGACAAGCUGGAGGAAGGCGGGGAUGACGUCAAAUCAUCAUGCCCCUUAUGACCUGGGCUACACACGUGCUACAAUGGAUGGUGCAGAGGGAAGCGAAGCCGCGAGGUGAAGCAAAACCCAUAAAACCAUUCUCAGUUCGGAUUGUAGUCUGCAACUCGACUACAUGAAGUUGGAAUCGCUAGUAAUCGCGAAUCAGCAUGUCGCGGUGAAUACGUUCUCG
This 1018-nucleotide ribosomal RNA is filed under the name uncultured bacterium. RNAcentral's name for it is "bacterial SSU rRNA". It matches the Rfam family "Bacterial small subunit ribosomal RNA", at positions 356 to 1376 of the family's 1533-position model. The record is from RNAcentral.